GACGAACGCUGGCGGCGUGCUUAACACAUGCAAGUCGAACGGUAAGGCCCUUCGGGGUACACGAGUGGCGAACGGGUGAGUAACACGUGGGUGAUCUGCCCUGCACUUCGGGAUAAGCCUGGGAAACUGGGUCUAAUACCGGAUAGGACCACUGCCUGCAUGGGUGGUGGUGGAAAGCUUUUGCGGUGUGGGAUGGGCCCGCGGCCUAUCAGCUUGUUGGUGGGGUGAUGGCCUACCAAGGCGACGACGGGUAGCCGGCCUGAGAGGGGGACCGGCCACGCUGGGAGUGAGAUACGGCCCAGACUCCUACGGGAGGCAGCAGUGGGGAAUAUUGCACACUGGGCGCAAGCCUGAUGCAGCGACGCCGCGUGAGGGAUGACGGCCUUCGGGUUGUAAGCCUCUUUCAGCACCGACGAAGCGCAAGUGACGGUAGGUGCAGAAGAAGGACCGGCCAACUACGUGCCAGCCGCCGCCGUAA
This 478-nucleotide ribosomal RNA is filed under the name uncultured bacterium. RNAcentral's name for it is "partial 16S ribosomal RNA". It matches the Rfam family "Bacterial small subunit ribosomal RNA", at positions 28 to 523 of the family's 1533-position model. The record is from RNAcentral.